Molecule: ribosomal RNA, 253 nt
Filed under: uncultured bacterium
Lineage: Bacteria
Description: partial 16S ribosomal RNA
Rfam family: Bacterial small subunit ribosomal RNA
Source: RNAcentral
UACGUAGGGACCGAGCGUUGUCCGGAAUCAUUGGGCGUAAAGAGCGUGUAGGCGGCUAUUUAAGUCCUGCGUGAAAUCCUGCGGCUCAACCGCAGACGGUCGUGGGAAACUGGAUGGCUAGAGUGCGGGAGAGGAGAGUGGAAUUCCCGGUGUAGCGGUGAAAUGCGCAGAUAUCGGGAAGAACACCCGUGGCGAAGGCGGCUCUCUGGACAGUUCCUGACGCUGAGGCACGAAGGCCAGGGGAGCAAACAGG